RNAcentral lists this ribosomal RNA (253 nucleotides) under uncultured bacterium. Its description in RNAcentral is "partial 16S ribosomal RNA". It matches the Rfam family "Bacterial small subunit ribosomal RNA", at positions 524 to 776 of the family's 1533-position model. The record is from RNAcentral.
UACGUAGGGGGCUAGCGUUGUCCGGAAUCAUUGGGCGUAAAGCGCGUGUAGGCGGCCCGGUAAGUCCGCUGUGAAAGUCCAGGGCUCAACCCCGAGACGUCGGUGGAAACCACCUGGCUAGAGUCCGGAAGAGGAGACUGGAAUUCCCGGUGUAGCGGUGGAAUGCGCAGAUAUCGGGAGGAACACCCGUGGCGAAGGCGGGUCUCUGGGACGGUACUGACGCUGAGACGCGAAAGCGUGGGGAGCGAACAGG